RNAcentral lists this ribosomal RNA (260 nucleotides) under uncultured Staphylococcus sp. RNAcentral's name for it is "partial 16S ribosomal RNA". It matches the Rfam family "Bacterial small subunit ribosomal RNA", at positions 100 to 355 of the family's 1533-position model. Lineage: Bacteria; Bacillati; Bacillota; Bacilli; Caryophanales; Staphylococcaceae. The record is from RNAcentral.
CGGGGUGAGUAACACGUGGAUAACCUAACUAUAAGACUGGGAUAACUUCGGGAAACCGGAGCUAAUACCGGAUAAUAUUUUGAACCGCAUGGUUCAAAAGUGAAAGACGGUCUUGCUGUCACUUAUAGAUGGAUCCGCGCUGCAUUAGCUAGUUGGUAAGGUAACGGCUUACCAAGGCAACGAUGCAUAGCCGACCUGAGAGGGUGAUCGGCCACACUGGAACUGAGACACGGUCCAGACUCCUACGGGAGGCAGCAGCC